RNAcentral lists this ribosomal RNA (2963 nucleotides) under Ziziphus jujuba (common jujube). RNAcentral describes it as "bacterial LSU rRNA". The stretch from base 770 to 2963 matches the Rfam family "Bacterial large subunit ribosomal RNA". The record is from RNAcentral. Lineage: Eukaryota; Viridiplantae; Streptophyta; Magnoliopsida; Rosales; Rhamnaceae.
UGUAAUAAGAGAAAGGUUUCCUGUUCCAUAGCCAGAAAUAUAUGUGGCCAUGAAAUGGGGAUUAAGUGGAACAGAAUUAAUUGGGUGGUAGAGUCGUGGAAACACCCGUUUCUUCCAUAUUUUGGACCUCAACUCAUAGAACAAUAUACUACUGCUGAAACAUGGGAGAAUUGAAAUCUUAGAUUAAAACAUUAUGGAUGGAUGGUAUGAACUGCCUAAACAAGAAUUCUUGAACAGCGAACAACCAGAGCUAUUACUCACUACAUCAAAAAAUUUCCAUUAAUGAAAGAUGUAAAUCCAUUGGAAAAUAAAAAAUACGCAUGUCAGAUGAAAUAGUUGUUGCUAUUUGCUACAAUAACGAACCAUUGGUUUAACUGAAUAACUAAAUAAAAUAGAUAGACAUUUAUCUUCGUCUCAUGUUGACGAAUCUUCUUAAUUGACCCCUACAUGGAUAAUACACAUUCUAGUAGACCGAUUAAUUCUAAUUGUUUCGAAGCAAUCCACAAAGCGGUUCAUCCUAUUGAGAUAUUCACGACCAAGAAGUACUGGAUUCUCUUUCGGAUAGGCCCUAAACUGAGAUGGAAGGUUGGAAGGCCAACAGGCAUCUAUUAUUGAAUUCACCCAACCAAAGAGUAUCCAUUUUGGGAACGUCCAGCACUAAAGUCACUGAAUGGGUAAGUCGCUAAUCCCUAAAAUGGACUAUGUAAUGUACUUUAUCUGCUGGGUUACGGGGGGGGGGGGGGGGGGGGGGAGGCAUUUUACCAGAGGUUUUCUAUUCUAUCAACCUACCCCUUGUGUGAUUCCUGUUGAAGCAUAUACUCAAGGGGUGGGGUGGGUGCAGGAUGGAUGAUUUCAAAAUGGACUCAUUCAAUGAAGAUUUAUUCACCAAAUUGAGGCAAACUUUGAAUACUAGAUAUGACCUCAAAUAACAGGGGUCAAGGUCGGCCAGCGAGACGAUGGGGGAUAAGCUUCAUCGUCGAGAGGGAAAUAGCCUAGAUCACCAACUAAGGCCCCUGAAUGACUGCUUAGUGAUAAAGGAGGUAGGGGUGCAAAGACAUCCAGGAGGUUUGCCUAGAACCAGCCUCCUUUGAAAGAGUGUAUAAUAGCUUACUGAUUGAGUGCUUUUGCACCGAAGAUGAACGGGGCUAAACAAUCUGUCGAAGCUAUGGAAUGUAAAAAUGCAUUGAUAGGGAAGUAUUCCCCUAGAGGGAAGCACCCGCGAUAGCUAUGGUAGACGAAGCAGAAGUGAGAAUGUCGGCUUGAGUAAUGCAAACAUUGGUGAGAAUCCAGUGCCCCAAAAACCUAAGGGUCCUCCGCAAGGUUCAUCCACGUAGGGUGAGUCAGGGCCUAAAAUUAGGCCAAAAGGCAUAGUUGAUGGAGAACAGGUGAAUAUUCCUGUACUACCCCUUGUUGGUCCCAAAGGAUGGAGGAGGCUAGGUUAGCCAAAGGAUGGUUAUUAGUUCAAGGACGCAAGGUGCCCCUGCUUUUUCAGGGUAAGAAGGUGUAAAGAAAAUGCCCCGAGCCAAUGUUCGUGUACCAGGCGCUACGGUGCUGAAGUAUCCCAUGCCAUACUCCCAGGAAAAGCUCGAAAAACCUUCAACAAAAGGGUACCGAUGCCCGAAACUGACACAUGUUGGUAGGUAGAGAAUACCUAAGGGCGUGAGACAACUCUCCCUAAGGAACUCAACAAAAUAGCCCCGUAACUUAGAAGGAAGGGGUGCUUCUCACAAAGAGGGUCACAGUAACCAGGCCCGGGCGAUUGUUUACCAAAACACAGGUCUUUACAAAGUCCUCAAACCAUGUAUGGGGGCUGACGCUUACCCAGCGCCUGAAGGUCAAGGAAGUUGGUGACUUAAUGAGAGGGAAGUCGGCAACCGAAGCCCUGGUGAAUGACGAUGGUAACUAUAACGGUAAUAAGGUAGAAAAAUUCCUUAUUGGGCAAGUUCCAACCCACACGAAAGGCGUAACGGUCUAGGCACUAUCUCGGAGAGACACUCAGUGAAAUAAAUAUGUUUGUGAAUAUGCGGACUACCUAUGCUUGGAUAGAAAGACCCUAUGAAGCUUCACUAUUCCCCGAGAUUGGCUUUAGGCUUUUCCUACGUAGCUUAGGUGGAAGGUGAAGAAGGCCUCCUUCUAGAGGGCCCGAGCCAUCAAUGAGAUACCACUCUGGAAGAGCUAGAAUUCUAACCUUGUGUCAGGAUAUACGGGCCAAGGGACAGUCUCACGUAGAUAGUUUCUAUCUGGCGUAGGCGUGCAAAGGUUUCCUCGGGCCAAACAGAGAUUGGCCCUCAAGUGGAAAGGCAGAAGGGAGCUUGACUACAAGACCCACCUAUCGAGCAGGGAAGAAAGUUGACCUUAGUGAUCUGACGAUGCUGAGUGGAAGGACCGUCGCUUAAUGGAUAAAAGUUACUCUAGGGAUAAUAGGCUGAUCUUCCCCAAUAGCUCACAACGAUGGGAAGGUUUGGCACCUCGAUGUCGACUCUUCGCCACCUAGGGUUUGUAGUAUGUUCAAAGGGUUGGGCUAUUCGCCCAUUAAAAUGGUACGUGAUCCGGGUUCAAAAUGUUGUGAGACAGUUCGGUCCAUAUCCGAUGUGGGUGUUAGAGCAUUGAGAGGAUCUUUUCCUAGUAUGAGAGGACCAGGAAGGACACGCCUCUGGUGUACCAGUUAUCAUGCCCACGGUAAACGCUGGAUAGCCAAGUAUGAAGCGGAUAACUGCUGAAAGCAUCUAAGUAGUAAGCCCACCCAAUAUGAAUGCUCUCCUAUUAUGACUUUCCCAGAGCUUACGGUAGCACAGCUAAGACAGCAACGGGUUUUCUGCCCUUUCGGGGGUAGAGUGAUAGAAAUUUUAAGAAUUCAAGAGAAGGUCAUGGCUAGAUGAGCCAUUUAUCAUUACAAUAGGUGUCAAGUGGAACUGCAGUGGUGUAUGCAGCUGAGGCAUCCUCACAGACCAGUAGACUUGAAU